UCUCUUGAGCUGGGCUCUGAGCUGCGGCCUCCUUUUCAGCUAUUUCAUCUCCUGGAUAUCCUGAAAGGACCAAGUUAACUCCAUUUUGUUAAAACUAACCCCAUUUUGUUUCAUAGCCUUCAAUUUGCAGCUGCAUACCAAAGGUGAUAGGUAACCUGCUUGCAUACCAAAGGUGAUAGGCAACCUGCUUCCUUCCCCACCCCUGGCUCCAGUAUGUCUGCCCCGAUUGGUAACGGCACCCACCCUCGACCCCAGUAGUAGUAAAUCCUUCCCCAGGCUAAUUAGCCCGUAGGAAACAUUGUCCAGUUCCCUAAGCUCCUAUCAGCUCUCCAGCAGUUCCCCCAACUCCCCCUCCCUUUUUCCUUUCUGUAUCCUUAAAACUGCUCUUCCCUCUGCAGUCGGGGCUUCUCUGCUCUCCUGCUGCAUCAGGAACGAAGAAACCCAAGCCCAAGCUUGUGAAUAAACUACCUCUUGCUUUUGCAUUGGACUUGGUCUUUGGGUGAUUUAUGAGGGGUACCCCGCGUCCUGAGCACAACUAUCCCAAGUGUCUGUGCAGCAGCCUCUGUCACCCUGUGACCUGCAGGUACUGGGAGAUCUGUAGGGAGGACACCAGGACCUCCAGGAGCUGGGAAAUGGUUUUGCUGUCUCUAAGCCAGACCUCAUCACCUGUCUCGAGCAAAGCAAAGAACCCUGGAAGGUGAAGACACAGCCGACACUAGUCAAGCACCCAGCUCUAUCUAAUCAUUCUACCUAAGACCAUUUGCAAGAGCUGAGCACAAAUAUUUUAUUUCCAGAGAUGAUUCUGAGCAGACAUCAAAGCUGUGGCCCUGAGUAUUUAAACUUAACAAAUGAAUGGGAAGGUGUGUAUGAGUGUAAGCAGCAGAAAGUAUGUUACAGUGGACAUGACUAAUGUUUAACAGCUAUCCAUAGCAUAGUUUUUCAAUGUAUUAAAGGUUUGAAUGUCUUCAGACAGUUUUCAAAUCUAAAUAGACAUAAGAUGAUAUAUGCCUUAGAGAAAACAUUUAAAUGUAAAAGGUAUGGGAAAUCCUCUAAGCUCUGCUCACACAUCACAGAACAUAAGGUAACAAAUACUGGAGAAAAGCAAAACAAAUGUAAAGAAGGUAGCCAAGUCUUCCAAUCAUGCUCAAGACUCCAUACUGGAGAGGAACUCAACAAGUAUGAAAAUGAUGGCAAAUGUCUAAGGCAUAGAUCAAAGUACUUUAACCAUAAGAUUUUGAAUACUGAAGAAAAAUCCUACAAAUAUAAGGAAUGUGACAAACUUACCAAGAAGUACUCACACAUUUACAGCCAUAAAAGAAUUCAUUCCAGAGAGACACACUAUGAAUGUCAAGACUGUGGCAAAGCCUUUAACCAGUACUCAACCUUCUCUGUACAUCAAACAAUUCACUCUGGAGAGAAACCCUACAAAUGUCAAGAAUGUGGAAAAGCCUUUAAACCAUACUCAAGCCUUUUGGUACAUCAUAGAAUUCAUUCUGGAUAGAAACUCUACAAAUGUCAAGAAUGUGGCAACGCCUUUUACCAGUACUCAAGCCUUUUUGUAUGUCUAAGAAUUCACUCUGGAAGGAAAUCCAACAAAUGUCAAGAAUAUGCCAAAACCUUUGACCAGUCCUCAAGCCUUGCUGUACAUAAAAGAAUUUGCUUUGGGUUGCAACCAUACAGAUGCCAAGAAUGUGGCAAAGCCUUUAACCUCAAAGGCUUUAACUCAAGCCUUUCUUUACAUCAUAGAAUUCACUCUGGAGAGAAAUACUACAAAUGUCAAGAAUGUGGCAAAGGUGCUGCCUCUGGCUCAAAGGAGUAGGGCACCGGCUUCAUAUUCUGGAGGUGGUGGGUUCAAACCCAGCCCCGGCCAAAAACUGCAAAAAAAUAAAAAUAAACAAAUGAAAGGAAAUAAAUAUUAUCAAAAAAAUUAAGAAUGUGGCAAAAUUGUUUUAUUUAUUUUUUAUUUUUUUGCAUUUUUUUCGCAGGGGGCUGGGUUUGAACCCCCCACCUAUGGCAUAUGGGGCUGGAGUCCUACUCCUUUGAGCCACAGGUGCCACCAAUGGAAAAACUGUUAACAGUACACAAGUCUUUCUAUACAUCAAAGAAUUCACUCUGGAGAGAUACCCUACAUAAGUAAAGAAUGUGGCAAAUCCUUUACUCAAAUUCUUCAUACCUUUCUGAACAGCAAAGAAAGAAUUAUGGUUAGAAACCAUACAAAUGUCAAGAAUGUGGCAAAGGCUUUAACUGGUACUCAUGACUUUCUGAACAUCAAAGAAUUUACUCUGGACAUAAAACUUACAAAUUUAAAAAAUGUGUUAAAGCCUUUUAAGAUAGGUCAACUACUAGUACACAUGAAAGAAUUUGUUGUGGAGAGAAAUUCUACAAAGGACAAAAAUGUGCCAAAGCCCCUAAUUCAUUUGUGAACCUUUCUAGACAUUUAUGAAUUUAUUCUGGAGAGAAACUUUAUAAAUAUGGACAGUGGGCAAACUGUAACUCACAUUCAAUCCUCACUGUACAUAGAAGAAAUCACACAGGAAAGAAACCCUCCAUAUGGAGACUGUGGCAAUACCUUUACCUGGUGUUCAUAGCAUGCUAAGCAUAAAAUAAUUCAAACUGGUGAGAAAUUCUACAAAUGUAAACAGUAUGGCAAUGACUUUAACCAGAGCUCAAACCUUUCUACAUGUAAGAACAUUCAUAUUGGAGAAAAACCUUACAAAUAUGAAUAAUGUGGCAAAGGUUUUCAGUGGCCCUCAGUCUUAUUUAACAUAAGAGAAAUCAUAGCAGAGAUAAAUGGCAACGAUGUGAAGAUGUGGCAAAGCCUCAUUCCAGUAGGCACUGUUUUCUGUACACAACAGAUUUCAUGUUGUGAAAUCUGAAGAUUGUGAAGAGAUUGUGAAAGAUUGUGAAAGACUGUGAAAAUGUGAAGAGAUUGACAGUGGUUUAAUCCUUAAACCAUUGUAUAAAUAAAAAAUUUAUAACACAGAAAUUCCCUACAAAUGAGAAGUAUCAAAUCAUAUAACCAGUACUCAUUUCAGUACAUAAACGAAUUCAUAGAGAAAUACUACAUAUGUUAAGACUGUGACAAUAUCGGGUGGUGCCUGUGGCUCAGUAAGUAGGGCGCUGGCCCCAUAUAGCAAGGGUGGUGGGUUCAAACCCAGCCCUGGCCAAAUGCAAACAAAAAAUAGCCAGGCAUUGUGGCAGGUGCGUGUAGUCCCAGAUACUGGGGAGGCUAAGGCAAGAGAAUCACCUAAGUCCAGGAGUUGGAGGUUGCUUUGACACGGCACUCUACCAAGGGUGAUAAAGUGAGUCUAUGUCUCCAGAAAAAAAAAGAGUGUGACAGUAUUUUUAAAUAUAUCUCGUGCUUUUCCAAUCCUAAUUUAAAUUGAAGAAAUACUGUACAAAUGUCUGUCCUGUCUCAGAGCCUUAAAGUUGUGUUUAUCCUGUAGGUAGGGAUAAGGAGAGACUGGGGCAGAUGAUACUAGGAGAUCCUUUGUCCAUAGUUUCAGAGGAACAAAUUGAGCAGCAGGGACUUCCAAGAAACAAAAGCUGACAUUUCAAGAAGGCUUCCCAAAACUGAACUGAUGUUUGUUCUACAAACAUGAGUCUUAGUGGUAGAGGGGCCACAAUGUGGAGAUAUGGCCAAGGCCACAAAAAAGGGGUCUUUGGAGUGGGCAUACAAGUACGAUGACAGUAGGCUCAAGUGACCAUUUUCAUUAACAUAGUACAAUUUACACCAGUUCUAUCAUACUCGACAACUACAAUGACAAAUAAUGUCCAUUCAUUACAGGGAUAGAAAUUGGAGGACUCUCCAUUCUGGAAGGUUUCCCCAUUUCCAAGAAAUAUGAAUAUUUUACCCCCAUACCACUAACUUUGAAUUGGAAAAUCUGUGUAAGGGGAAACAUCUUGCUAAUCUCAGAGUUUUCUCCACUUGAAAAUGUGCUCCUUCUCUGGAGUGUACAGUCCUUUAUAAAUUUUUUCCAUUUGCACACUUGUAUCUACUUAUUCUGAUCAUUUGUUUCACUGUCUUGGUUGUAAUAACCGUUCUUUGCCACCUGGAACAAAACAAGGGAACACAUACCUCACCUCUGGUCCCCUAAUAUCUGACAUUUUGGUGUUACUAUCUGAGAGGAAAAUAUACAUCUUCAACAAGACAAGCUAAUGGAACAAGAGACAUUCUGAAUUCACUCUGCUGCUGGAUAUUACUUAUUACUCCUCCAUCUCUUUGGCUGUCUUCACUUCCAGGUAACGUAGCUCCUUACCUGCCCCUGCUUCAUCUGCUUUUUUCUUCCUCACCUUGACAAUGCACUUCAUCUACCAGUUAGUGCUGAUAUUCAAAAGCUUAAAAAGGGG
Molecule: RNA transcript, 4350 nt
Organism: Nycticebus coucang (slow loris)
Lineage: Eukaryota; Metazoa; Chordata; Mammalia; Primates; Lorisidae
Gene name: zinc finger protein 678-like
Exons: 3
Source: RefSeq, a predicted model, not a curated record